AGGAUUUAUUUAGUUCUGGUUAUGGAAGAAGCACUAGGCACUAAUCACAUAAGGAGUUUUUAUAGAGUUGUGUGUAGAGUAAUUUUACAUAUUUAGUGAUGGAUUCUUGUUUUUGGGGAAACUCAGAACAGGGUGUUCUUGUGAGAAAUGGUUAAUUCUCAGUGCCAGCCUCCGCGGUUAAUCUGUAAUUUCGUUCUUCCUGUCAGUUGAAAUUUUUUAAGAGUAAGUGUAUAAAGAUUAAGGUAGAAUUUUCUUUGUUUAGUGUUAAGCUCUUAGUUUAUUUUGUAGCUUCUUUUAUAAAAGAGGAUUAGAUACCCUCGUAUAGGAAAGUUGGAUUUUGGUGUCUGUAGUGUGAACUAAAAGAAUUUGGCAGCUGAUGAAGUUCGUCCGGGGGAGUGUGUUCUUUAAAAAGAUGGUCCGCUUAGUAGUUUACCUUUUUAUUUGGUUAGUGUAUAUCCGGUUUAAGAUCCGUAAUUAGUGUUGCGGGUGCAGGUAGUUGGGUACUUAAUCCAGGUCUUUGUGCUGCUGAUGGAGAGGGUGGUUAAUGCGCUACGUUGUUAAAAGACCUUAAUAUAAUUUUGGGGUGUAUUCAGGACUCGGUAGUAGGAAAGGUUUAGUUUGUCUUUUCGAAAAGGAUUUAGUUGGGGUACACACCGCCCGUCACUCAGGGCGUUAGCCCUGAUAAGUCGUAACAUGGUAACGUUGGGGGAACCGAACGUUAGUAGUUUCACUGUGUAUUAGGUGAAGUU
Molecule: non-coding RNA, 749 nt
Filed under: Paramphistomum leydeni
Lineage: Eukaryota; Metazoa; Platyhelminthes; Trematoda; Plagiorchiida; Paramphistomidae
Source: RNAcentral